ACUGCAAUUGUUAGAACUUGGAGUUUAAGCUGCUGGCUGGCCAGUGAACUCACGAGUAUAGGUAUUGUACUACAUGACCCAUGAGUCUUUCACUAUCACCACAAGGGUCUCUGGACCAAUAAGUGGAGUAUGAUAGUAAUUCUUGCUACAAGU
Molecule: small nucleolar RNA, 153 nt
Filed under: Zalophus californianus (California sea lion)
Lineage: Eukaryota; Metazoa; Chordata; Mammalia; Carnivora; Otariidae
Source: RNAcentral